GAUGAAGAACGCAGCGAAUUGCGAUACGUAAUGUGAAUUGCAGAAUUCAGUGAAUCAUCGAAUCUUUGAACGCACCUUGCACCCUUUGGUAUUCCGAAGGGUAUGCCCGUUUGAGUGUCAUUGUAAUCUCACACCUAAUGUCUUUUGCGAGGCAGAGGGAAAGUGGACUUGGGAGUUGCAGUGUUGAAGCUGCUCGCCCUAAAUGUAUUAGCGGACCCUUAACUUGUGCCGUAGUCGGUGUGAUAAUUGUCUUCACCGCUGCAUUUGCAACGUCCAAGUCUAGUGGUAGGCUUCAAAUUGUCUUAGGACAUUAUUGACAACUUGACCUCAAAUCGGGUAGGACUACCCGCUGAACUUAAGCAUAUCAAUAAGCGGAGGA
This 379-nucleotide unclassified non-coding RNA is filed under the name soil metagenome. RNAcentral describes it as "partial contains 5.8S ribosomal RNA, internal transcribed spacer 2, and large subunit ribosomal RNA". The stretch from base 1 to 120 matches the Rfam family "5.8S ribosomal RNA", at positions 35 to 154 of the family's 154-position model. The record is from RNAcentral.